Molecule: ribosomal RNA, 827 nt
Filed under: Gregatothecium humicola
Lineage: Eukaryota; Fungi; Ascomycota; Sordariomycetes; Hypocreales; Stachybotryaceae
Also listed under: 2 other names
Description: eukaryotic LSU rRNA
Rfam family: Eukaryotic large subunit ribosomal RNA
Source: RNAcentral
AUUGCCUCAGUAACGGCGAGUGAAGCGGCAACAGCUCAAAUUUGAAAUCUGGCCCUAGGCCCGAGUUGUAAUUUGCAGAGGAUGCUUUUGGCGAGGUGCCUUCCGAGUUCCCUGGAACGGGACGCCAUAGAGGGUGAGAGCCCCGUCUGGUCGGACACCGAGCCUCUGUAAAGCUCCUUCGACGAGUCGAGUAGUUUGGGAAUGCUGCUCAAAAUGGGAGGUAUAUGUCUUCUAAAGCUAAAUACCGGCCAGAGACCGAUAGCGCACAAGUAGAGUGAUCGAAAGAUGAAAAGCACUUUGAAAAGAGAGUUAAAUAGCACGUGAAAUUGUUGAAAGGGAAGCGUUUAUGACCAGACUUGGCCCGGUUGAUCAUCCAGCGUUCUCGCUGGUGCACUCUGCCGGUCCAGGCCAGCAUCAGUUCGUCGCGGGGGAUAAAGGUUUCGGGAAUGUGGCUCCUCCGGGAGUGUUAUAGCCCGUUGCGUAAUACCCUGCGGUGGACUGAGGUCCGCGCUUCUGCAAGGAUGCUGGCGUAAUGGUCAUCAACGACCCGUCUUGAAACACGGACCAAGGAGUCGUCUUCGUAUGCGAGUGUUCGGGUGUAAAACCCCUACGCGUAAUGAAAGUGAACGCAGGUGAGAGCUUCGGCGCAUCAUCGACCGAUCCUGAUGUUCUCGGAUGGAUUUGAGUAAGAGCAUACGGGGCCGGACCCGAAAGAAGGUGAACUAUGCCUGUAUAGGGUGAAGCCAGAGGAAACUCUGGUGGAGGCUCGCAGCGGUUCUGACGUGCAAAUCGAUCGUCAAAUAUGGGCAUGGGGGCGAAAGACUAAU